RNAcentral lists this ribosomal RNA (1878 nucleotides) under human oral metagenome. RNAcentral's name for it is "bacterial LSU rRNA". It matches the Rfam family "Bacterial large subunit ribosomal RNA", at positions 1024 to 2925 of the family's 2925-position model. The record is from RNAcentral.
AGCCCAGACCGCCAGCUAAGGUCCCUAAUUAUGUCUAAGUGGGAAAGGAGGUGGAUAUUCACAGACAACCAGGAGGUUGGCUUAGAAGCAGCCAUGCCUUGAAAGAGUGCGUAAUAGCUCACUGGUCGAGAGUAUCUGCGCCGAAGAUGUAACGGGGCUGAAGACAUAAACCGAAGCUGUGGAAGCGGCCAUGCCGCUUGGUAGGAGAGCGUUCUGUAGGUCUGCGAAGGCUGGCCGGAAGGCCUGCUGGAGACAUCAGAAGCGAGAAUGCAGGAAUGAGUAGCGAGAAGGAGGGCGAGAAUCCCUCCGGCCGGAAGUCCAAGGUUUCCGGGGGAAGGUUUGUCCGCCCCGGGGAAGUCGGGACCUAAGCGUAAGCAGAGAUGUGAUUGCGAAUGGGAAACAGGUUAAUAUUCCUGUACCGCUGUCAGUCGCCUGAGUGACGGAGUGACGCAGCAAGGUAUGUGAGAAGGCUGACGGAAUAGCCUUUCUAAAGGCGUAGCCUGGGCACGCAGGCAAAUCCGCGUGCCUAAAGGUGAGACCCUAUGGGCAAGUGCUCCUGCACAAGUCACAGAUCCUACACUGCCAAGAAAAACUUCUAGCGAGACUGGACAGCGCCCGUACCCUAAACCGACACAGGUGGACAGAGUGAGAAACUUAAGGCCGACAGGAUAACUCUAGCUAAGGAACUCUGCAAAAUAGCCCCGUAACUUCGGGAGAAGGGGUGCCUGACAUACCUGAGGGGAGAAGCGCCUCAAGGGGAAACAGGCCGCAGUGAAGAGUCUCAAGCAACUGUUUACCAAAAACACAGGUCUAUGCUAAGCUGGAAGGCGACGUAUAUGGGCUGACACCUGCCCAGUGCCGGAAGGUUAAGAGGAGGAGUGAGAGCUCCGAUUUGAAGCCCCGGUGAACGGCGGCCGUAACUAUAACGGUCCUAAGGUAGCGAAAUUCCUUGUCGGGUAAGUUCCGACCUGCACGAAUGGUGAAAUGAUUUGAGAGCUGUCUUGGCUGGAGACCUGGUGAAGUUGUAAUGCCGGUGAAGAUACCGGCUACCUGCAGUAGGACGGAAAGACCCCGUGGAGCUUCACUGCAGCCUGGCAUUGGGUUCUGGCAACGUGUGUAUAGGAUAGUUGGGAGACUGCGAAGUUGAGGCGCCAGCCUCUUCCGAGUCGCUGUUGGAAUACCAACCAUAUGCUGCCGGAAUUCUAAUCCGCUCGCGGAGACAGUGCUAGGUGGGCAGUUUGACUGGGGCGGUCGCCUCCAAAAGAGUAACGGAGGCGUUCAAAGGUUCCCUCGGGCUGGAUGGAAAUCAGCCUUCGAGUGCAAACGCAUAAGGGAGCUUGACUGCAAGACCGACGGGUCGAGCAGGUACGAAAGUAGGAGUUAGUGAUCCGGCGGUCCCUCAUGGAAGGGCCGUCGCUCAACGGAUAAAAGCUACCCCGGGGAUAACAGGCUGAUACUUCCCAAGAGUCCAUAUCGACGGAAGUGUUUGGCACCUCGAUGUCGGCUCGUCUCAUCCUGGGGCUGGAGAAGGUCCCAAGGGUUGGGCUGUUCGCCCAUUAAAGAGGCACGCGAGCUGGGUUCAGAACGUCGUGAGACAGUUCGGUCCCUAUCCACUGCAGGCGCUUGAAUAUUGAAAAGAUCUGACCUUAGUACGAGAGGACCGGGUUGGACAGACCUCUGAUGUAUCAGCUGUCACGCCAGUGGCACGGCUGAGUAGUCACGUCUGGCCAGGAUAAUCGCUGAAAGCAUCUAAGCGAGAAGCCGGCUUUGAGAUGAGUGCUCGCAGUAUCCACAGAGAACAUGUGGUCGAUAGGCUGGGGAUGUAAGCGCAGCAAUGCGUUCAGUUGACCAGUACUAAUAUUACUUGGGCUUUUUUAA